Molecule: non-coding RNA, 245 nt
Organism: Echinops telfairi (small Madagascar hedgehog)
Lineage: Eukaryota; Metazoa; Chordata; Mammalia; Afrosoricida; Tenrecidae
Source: Rfam
AUGUACGCCGGGCUGUCAUUUAUGAAACUGAGCCCAGAUCCAGCCAAUCGUUCACCUCCUCAUAACAAGUCUAACUGGCUCGGGGAAGCUGAAAGGGCUGCACUAAAAUAACAUAGAUGAGAUAUUUCGCAUGAUAAUCUGUUGAUCUGGACACACUCUCCCUCUCGGGGCCAGAGAAAAAUCACAGCUUCAUUGUGUGGAGGAAGGACAGGUGACCCUGGAAAAGAUGGUAGCCCCCGGAGCAA